This 253-nucleotide ribosomal RNA is filed under the name uncultured bacterium. RNAcentral's name for it is "partial 16S ribosomal RNA". It matches the Rfam family "Bacterial small subunit ribosomal RNA", at positions 524 to 776 of the family's 1533-position model. The record is from RNAcentral.
UACGGAGGGGGCGAGCGUUAUUCGGAAUUAUUGGGCGUAAAGGGCGCGUAGGCGGCCCGGUAAGUCAAAGGUGAAAUCCCUCGGCUCAACUGAGGAACUGCCUUUGAAACUGUCGGGCUUGAGGCCGGGAGGGGGUAGCGGAAUUCCCAGUGUAGCGGUGAAAUGCGUAGAUAUUGGGAGGAACACCGGUGGCGAAGGCGGCUACCUGGGACGGUACUGACGCUGAGGAGCGAAAGCGUGGGGAGCGAACAGG